Molecule: ribosomal RNA, 253 nt
Filed under: uncultured bacterium
Lineage: Bacteria
Description: partial 16S ribosomal RNA
Rfam family: Bacterial small subunit ribosomal RNA
Source: RNAcentral
UACAGAGGGCUCAAGCGUUGUUCGGAUUCAUUGGGCGUAAAGGGUGCGUAGGUGGCGCCAUAAGUCGGGUGUGAAAUCUCGGGGCUUAACUCCGAAACUGCAUUCGAUACUGUGGUGCUUGAGGACUGGAGAGGAGACUGGAAUUCAUGGUGUAGCAGUGAAAUGCGUAGAGAUCAUGAGGAAGACCAGUGGCGAAGGCGGGUCUCUGGGCAGUUCCUGACACUGAGGCACGAAGGCCAGGGGAGCAAACGGG